UCGCACAGACGUUAGUGGGUUAAACUCCACAUACGCAGCCAUCUCACAAACCUUUUGCGAAACAUUUCAAACCCAUCAAACAACUAAUGAUCCACCAUCUUCAAACCAACCGUUACCUCCACCAGAUGUGUAGUGCGAAGAAUUUAGUUGCUUCAUUAAGUGAAAUUAACAAAACUCGCUACGUUUCACUUAAUAUCCCACAUCCAAUGUUCAAUAGUUUAGACACCGACAGUUCUAUGUCAACCCAAACGAAAAACGAUUAAUCAGAAUGUAAGUGAACUAUCGAAACAUGUAACCCACACAAUAAUGAUUCCCAUAAUUACAGUAUCCCCUGAAGAAGACUCUAAUACGAGUCGAAACGUUGGGAAAAAUCUAAAA
Long non-coding RNA from Aedes albopictus (Asian tiger mosquito), 378 nucleotides. RefSeq lists it as uncharacterized. The transcript has 2 exons. The record is from RefSeq and is a predicted model, not a curated record. Lineage: Eukaryota; Metazoa; Arthropoda; Insecta; Diptera; Culicidae.